RNAcentral lists this long non-coding RNA (339 nucleotides) under Pan troglodytes (chimpanzee). Its description in RNAcentral is "long non-coding RNA NONPTRT008596". The record is from RNAcentral. Lineage: Eukaryota; Metazoa; Chordata; Mammalia; Primates; Hominidae.
UCUCCAGAGCCUGAGCUAGUCAGAAGUAACAGUUGCUACUGCGUCCCCCGGACACUGGGAGAAUCGUUUUCCUUGGGCAGCUGGUUCCAGACCCCCACCAGUCCUCUAGACUCCAGGCCAAUCAGUUGCUAAGGGACGUUCCUCUCUCAACCUGCACUUAUCAACAUUUUAAACUAUAAAUUCGUCUGCAUUUCUUCAUCGUCUAUCUAUGUGGACCAUGACUCCACAGAGGCAGGCUCACCAUUCCCAUCGCUUAUGCUGGGCAAUCAUCAAUAUACCCGCUGUCAUGGAAUUGCAGAAUCGUUAUCCAAAUGGCUUUGACUUUUACCACUACUCCCA